Molecule: ribosomal RNA, 491 nt
Filed under: uncultured bacterium
Lineage: Bacteria
Description: partial 16S ribosomal RNA
Rfam family: Bacterial small subunit ribosomal RNA
Source: RNAcentral
GUGAACGCUGGCGGUAGGCCUAACACAUGCAAGUCGAACGGCAGCACAGUAAGAGCUUGCUCUUACGGGUGGCGAGUGGCGGACGGGUGAGGAAUACAUCGGAAUCUACUUUUUCGUGGGGGAUAACGUAGGGAAACUUACGCUAAUACCGCAUACGACCUACGGGUGAAAGCAGGGGAUCUUCGGACCUUGCGCGAUUGAAUGAGCCGAUGUCGGAUUAGCUAGUUGGCGGGGUAAAGGCCCACCAAGGCGACGAUCCGUAGCUGGUCUGAGAGGAUGAUCAGCCACACUGGAACUGAGACACGGUCCAGACUCCUACGGGAGGCAGCAGUGGGGAAUAUUGGACAAUGGGCGCAAGCCUGAUCCAGCCAUACCGCGUGGGUGAAGAAGGCCUUCGGGUUGUAAAGCCCUUUUGUUGGGAUAGAAAAGCAGCAGGUUAAUACCCCGCUGUUCUGACGGUACCCAAAGAAUAAGCACCGGCUAACUUCGUG